Octopus sinensis (East Asian common octopus) is the source of this 1314-nucleotide long non-coding RNA. RefSeq lists it as uncharacterized. The record is from RefSeq and is a predicted model, not a curated record. The transcript has 3 exons. NCBI's taxonomy places the organism in Eukaryota, Metazoa, Mollusca, Cephalopoda, Octopoda, Octopodidae.
CUUUUUUCUUUGUUCAUCAUACACACAAUUAAUGAAAUAAUUACUGUAUUAGACUAACAGCCCUGUUGCAAUAACCAUAAAUGCAGAAGAGAUAUUUAACCAAAAUCUUCAGACAUUAAAAUCUAAAAGCCAGUUUUAUAUGGAGAUGAAGUAAACACCAGAGGAAUGGAAAUUCUCAACAUCCCAAAUCCUACCACCAACACCAUUUACUAAUCAACAAACACACAAGACAAAACAAUCCCAUCUCAUACAGAACUAUGAACUAAAUGGAAAUGCAAGGCAGAUGCCACUGGACACAUCUCUGAGUAUUAAAUUCCCCAGGAUGAUGAGUGUGGACAUAAAGGGUUAAACCACUCCAAUCCAAGUGUAUUUCAAACAAAGGACCACAACAGACAUCCUUACAGCCAACAUACUCCCUGCACUUCUGUUUUAGCUCUAAUUCUAAUUUUUUUAAUCAUUUCUAUUCACACGUCUCCUCCAGCCUCUGAGAAUUCACACAGGAGGAAACAAAUCUACCCCAGUGGAUUACUAUUGACCCUGUCCUGGUCAUCCAUGGCCAGUAAUAUCAAACAGUAGAAGUUAAAAGAUCAAGGCUUCGUCCAGUUAAUCAAUAUGGCAAGGUAUUAACAUGUCAAAAAUGUCAAAGGAUUACAACAGCUUCAACAUUGUCGAGUACCAUUUUAACACUGAGAUUAGUAAACUAUAUCUGCAUGAGUCCACCAUUCCAUCAGUCCUUGGCUCCAACAUGAUUGUACCACUACAACAAUAACAACAUAAAUAAUGAUAAUAAUGUGAAGCGUUUCAUUUGGAAAUUACCAUUGCUGUCAGCUGUCGCUUCUAUUGAUACUGUUAAACGCAGUCUACUCAGUCACCGACCAGUCCACCCCUAAUAUGAUGACAACAGCAACAACAUCAUCAUCACUAUCAUCUGAUAUUGUUUGGAACUUUUAUAUCCCAGGCAUCUACAACUCAUACUUUGCCAUUUCUGGAUUUACUACAACAUCAUUCCACUUCUAUUUAGCCAUUUCUGGAUCACUACAAACAUGGAUACCUACAGCUCUGACACCUACCACGCUCAGGUAUUCAAUGCUUGUAUCAUUCAACAAUGCAUUGCGAAAUACAUGCUUAUAUAUAUAUAUAUCUACAUAUACAUAUAUGUAUGUAUAUAUAAAUAUACAUGUACGUACACACACACACACUCACACUCAUAUAUACAUUCAUAUAUAUAACCUUAAAUUAAAAAUCACAAAUCUUGCAAUGACAGCCACCUUACUGUAAUUUCAAGAUUUGUGGUUUUUAAUUUAAGAUUAUCUU